Molecule: ribosomal RNA, 406 nt
Filed under: uncultured bacterium
Lineage: Bacteria
Description: partial 16S ribosomal RNA
Rfam family: Bacterial small subunit ribosomal RNA
Source: RNAcentral
AUUGAACGCUGGCGGCAGGCUUAACACAUGCAAGUCGAGCGAGCGGCGGACGGGUGAGUACCACGUGGUAACCUACCUUAGACAUUGGGAUAGCCUCGGGAAACCGGGAUUAAUACCGAAUAUGCUAAGAUGGACUCGCGUCCCAUUAGCUAGUUGGUGAGGUACCGGCCCACCUAGGCGACGAUCCCUAGCUGGUCUGAGAGGAUGAUCAGCCACACUGGGACUGAGACACGGCCCAGACUCCUACGGGAGGCAGCAGUGGGGAAUAUUGCACAAUGGGCGCAAGCCUGAUGCAGCCAUGCCGCGUGUAUGAAGAAGGCCCUAGGGUUGUAAAGUACUUUCAGUCGGGAGGCGUUACCGACAGAAGAAGCACCGGCUAACUCCGUGCCAGCAGCCGCGGUAAUAC